This 484-nucleotide ribosomal RNA is filed under the name uncultured bacterium. RNAcentral's name for it is "partial 16S ribosomal RNA". It matches the Rfam family "Bacterial small subunit ribosomal RNA", at positions 30 to 507 of the family's 1533-position model. The record is from RNAcentral.
AUUGAACGCUGGCGGCAGGCCUGACACAUGCAAGUCGAGCGGAUGAAGGGAGCUUGCUCCUGGAUUCAGCGGCGGACGGGUGAGUAAUGCCUAGGAAUCUGCCUGGUAGUGGGGGAUAACGUCCGGAAACGGGCGCUAAUACCGCAUACGUCCUGAGGGAGAAAGUGGGGGAUCUUCGGACCACACGCUAUCAGAUGAGCCUAGGUCGGAUUAGCUAGUUGGUGGGGUAAAGGCCUACCAAGGCGACGAUCCGUAACUGGUCUGAGAGGAUGAUCAGUCACACUGGAACUGAGACACGGUCCAGACUCCUACGGGAGGCAGCAGUGGGGAAUAUUGGACAAUGGGCGAAAGCCUGAUCCAGCCAUGCCGCGUGUGUGAAGAAGGUCUUCGGAUUGUAAAGCACUUUAAGUUGGGAGGAAGGGCAGUAAGUUAAUACCUUGCUGUUUUGACGUUACCAACAGAAUAAGCACCGGCUAACUUCGUG